RNAcentral lists this ribosomal RNA (368 nucleotides) under Stenotrophomonas maltophilia. RNAcentral's name for it is "partial 16S ribosomal RNA". It matches the Rfam family "Bacterial small subunit ribosomal RNA", at positions 82 to 445 of the family's 1533-position model. Lineage: Bacteria; Pseudomonadati; Pseudomonadota; Gammaproteobacteria; Lysobacterales; Lysobacteraceae. The record is from RNAcentral.
UUAUGGGUGGCGAGUGGCGGACGGGUGAGGAAUACAUCAGAAUCUACUUUUUCGUGGGGGAUAACGUAAGGAAACUUACGCUAAUACCGCAUACGACCUACGGGUGAAAGCAGGGGAUCUUCGGACCUUGCGCGAUUGAAUGAGCCGAUGUCGGAUUAGCUAGUUGGCGGGGUAAAGGCCCACCAAGGCGACGAUCCGUAGCUGGGCUGAGAGGAUGAUCAGCCACACUGGAACUGAGACACGGUCCAGACUCCUACGGGGAGGCAGGCGGUGGNGGAAUAUUNGGACAAUUGGGCCGCAAGCCNUGAACCAGCCAUCCCGNNUGGGNGAAGAANGNCCNUCGGGUUCNNAANCCCUNUUGGUAGGCC